AGCAGCCGCGGUAAUUCCAGCUCCAAUAGCGUAUAUUAAAGUUGUUGCAGUUAAAAAGCUCGUAGUUGAACUUCGGGGUUUACUCAUUGGUCAGGCUUAAUUGUCUGUACUGGUGAGAUAAAUCUCUACCUUCUGAGGAACUUUCAUGCCAUUUACUUGGUGUGAUUGGAAAUCAGGGCUGUUACUUUGAAAAAAUUAGAGUGUUUAAAGCAGGCUCACGCUUGAAUACAUUAGCAUGGAACAAUGAAAUAGGACGUUUGAUUCUAUUUUGUUGGUUUCUAGGAUCGACGUAAUGAUUAAUAGGGAUAGUUGGGGGCAUUAGUAUUCAAUUGUCAGAGGUGAAAUUCUUGGAUUUAUUGAAGACUAACUACUGCGAAAGCAUUUGCCAAGGAUGUUUUCAUUAAUCAAGAACGAAAGUUAGGGGAUCGAAGACGAUCAGAUACCGUCGUAGUCUUAACCAUAAACUAUGCCGACUAGGGAUCGGAUGAUGUUAAUUUUUUAAUGACUCAUUCGGCGCCUU
RNAcentral lists this unclassified non-coding RNA (520 nucleotides) under uncultured Glomus. RNAcentral describes it as "SSU rRNA". It matches the Rfam family "Eukaryotic small subunit ribosomal RNA", at positions 569 to 1089 of the family's 1831-position model. RNAcentral also lists the same sequence under 1 other name. The record is from RNAcentral. Lineage: Eukaryota; Fungi; Glomeromycota; Glomeromycetes; Glomerales; Glomeraceae.